Molecule: long non-coding RNA, 578 nt
Organism: Triticum aestivum (bread wheat)
Lineage: Eukaryota; Viridiplantae; Streptophyta; Magnoliopsida; Poales; Poaceae
Exons: 3
Source: RefSeq, a predicted model, not a curated record
UUGCUUGAUCAUUUUGAAGAGCAAUUUGGUGAAUUGCGUGCUUGGAAAGGGUAUUCUUCCGAUGUAAUUCCCUGUCUUUUUUGGAGUUUUGCAUCUGGAAAUCACUUCGGAAAAAAGUUGUUUCUGAUAUAUCCCGGCGUGUCGUCUCACUUUCUUCAUUUGAUGGAUACUCAAGGUAUUUUUCAUGCACGGGCUUGUUUAUAAAGUGGCCUGGAAGCAGCGGAACACGCUCAGUCAUUCUGACUUCGGCCUGUUUGGUUAGAAGUCGUCGUAAUGCAGAGAACAUUGAUAAUGACUUGAGGAUUGAGGUGUUUCUCCCACCAAAACAACGUGCCAAUGGGAGAUUGGAAUUUUACAACUUAAACUACAACAUUGCUAUUGUCAGCGUCGAGAAGAGUUUUCAUCGUAUAUAUCCAGAAGAUAUUUUCAACACAGCACACCGGUCAUUAGAGAAGUUAGUAGUUGCUAUAGGACGUGAAGCUAACGAAGGACUAUUAAUGGCCUCACGUGGUGAAGUGAAGCGUAGAAACAAGGAUAGUGAACUUGAUUGCAGAGCUCUUAAGCUGUCCACAUGUAAA